This 253-nucleotide ribosomal RNA is filed under the name uncultured bacterium. RNAcentral describes it as "partial 16S ribosomal RNA". It matches the Rfam family "Bacterial small subunit ribosomal RNA", at positions 524 to 776 of the family's 1533-position model. The record is from RNAcentral.
UACAGAGGGUGCGAGCGUUAAUCGGAAUUACUGGGCGUAAAGCGCGCGUAGGCGGCUUUGCAAGUCGGGUGUGAAAUCCCCAGGCUUAACCUGGGAACUGCAUUCGAGACUGCAUUGCUAGAGUAUGGGAGAGGGAAGUGGAAUUUCCGGUGUAGCGGUGAAAUGCGUAGAUAUCGGAAGGAACAUCAGUGGCGAAAGCGACUUCCUGGACCAAUACUGACGCUCAUGUGCGUAAGCGUGGGGAGCAAACAGG